AUUGAACGCUGGCGGCAUGCCUUACACAUGCAAGUCGAACGGCAGCACGGGUGCUUGCACCUGGUGGCGAGUGGCGAACGGGUGAGUAAUACAUCGGAACAUGUCCUGUAGUGGGGGAUAGCCCGGCGAAAGCCGGAUUAAUACCGCAUACGAUCUACGGAUGAAAGCGGGGGACCUUCGGGCCUCGCGCUAUAGGGUUGGCCGAUGGCUGAUUAGCUAGUUGGUGGGGUAAAGGCCUACCAAGGCGACGAUCAGUAGCUGGUCUGAGAGGACGACCAGCCACACUGGGACUGAGACACGGCCCAGACUCCUACGGGAGGCAGCAGUGGGGAAUUUUGGACAAUGGGCGAAAGCCUGAUCCAGAAUGCCGCGUGUGUGAAGAAGGCCUUCGGGUUGUAAAGCACUUUUGUCCGGAAAGAAAUCCUUGGCCCUAAUACGGUCGGGGGAUGACGGUACCGGAAGAAUAAGCACCGGCUAACUACGUG
RNAcentral lists this ribosomal RNA (485 nucleotides) under uncultured bacterium. Its description in RNAcentral is "partial 16S ribosomal RNA". It matches the Rfam family "Bacterial small subunit ribosomal RNA", at positions 30 to 507 of the family's 1533-position model. The record is from RNAcentral.